UCCUACGGGAGGCAGCAGUGAGGAAUCUUGCGCAAUGGGCGAAAGCCUGACGCAGCCACGCCGCGUGCCGGAUGAAGGCCCUAUGGGUUGUAAACGGCUUUUAAGCAGGAAGAACGACCGGAUUUCGAUCUGGUGUGACGGUACUGCUUGAAUAAGCACCGGCUAACUCCGUGCCAGCAGCCGCGGUAAUACGGAGGGUGCAAGCGUUGUCCGGAAUCAUUGGGUGUAAAGGGUGCGUAGGCGGGCGUCUAAGUCUGGGGUGAAAUCUUGCCGCUUAACGGUAAAAUGGCCUUGGAUACUGGGCGUCUUGAGUGUAGAAGAGGUAAGUGGAAUUCGUAGUGUAGCGGUGAAAUGCAUAGAUAUUACGAAGAACAUCAGUGGCGAAGGCGGCUUACUGGUCUACAACUGACGCUGAGGCACGAAAGCGUGGGGAGCGAACAGGAUUAGAUACCCUGGUAGUCCACGCUGUAAACGAUGCAUACUAGGUGUUGGCCUUUCGAGGCCAGUGCUGCAGUUAACGCAUUAAGUAUGCCACCUGGGGAGUACGUCGGCAACGAUGAAACUCAAAUGAAUUGACGG
RNAcentral lists this ribosomal RNA (579 nucleotides) under uncultured bacterium. RNAcentral describes it as "bacterial SSU rRNA". It matches the Rfam family "Bacterial small subunit ribosomal RNA", at positions 337 to 916 of the family's 1533-position model. The record is from RNAcentral.